CAACUGUGUCCUGCCUCCCCACCCCUAUAUUUGCCAAUCCUGCCCCAGAAACCCUGGGGACAUGGGAGGAGGAUGUCCCUGGAGGUCCGCUUCCUCCUCUCUAAGGGAACCCAAGCCUCCCGCCAGAGUCUGUCAUUAUCCACCUGGACCCGAAAUAGCCGGGGAGUAGCAGCCUGUGUCUCUCUGGAGUUCAAAGCAUGAUCCUGUAACUACCUCAUCUCCAGCUACCAAAUCUACUGGACAACUCAGGGACCAGAGAGGUUAAGCAAUUUGCCCCAGGACACCCAGCACCUUGGCUAGUGCCUAUUCCCAGGUGUCAGCCCACGCCCCUGCAGGAUGACAGUGAUGUGGUAGCGGGUCUUCCUGGCAGAGGUUCGCUCAGACACCUCCUCACCCCGACUGCCCUCCUUGCACCGGAGAAGCAGAGCUGUCCUAGGGGAGGUGGCCAGGGCCAUGAGAGCUGGGCCAAAGGGGCAGAGCUCCGGGAAGACCCUUCCCCACUCAACUCAUGCCUCCCAUUCCACGGUGAGGAAUGAGAUCCAGAGAAGACACGGACAUGAAUAAAGUCACACACAAGGGCCCAACUCUCAGGUGCAGCCUUUCAUUCACCAGGGGCUGAACACCUCAAGAGACAGAAGAGGACAAUGAUUCCUGUGGGGGCCUGGAGCGAGGCACCCCGGGCUUGAAUCCUAGCUCUGCAAUUCCUAGCUGCAGUACCUCUUGCAUCUCAGUUUCCCCAUGUGUAAAAUUGGCAUGAUAAUAACAGUACCCGCUUCCUGGGAGUGCUGUGAAGAUUUCAUGAGAUAAUCUAUGCAGAGCACCGGCACAUAACGAGUACUCAAUUACAUGUGAGUAAUUACUAAUGGUAUUCAGGACCACAGAGAGACACACGGCUGCUUGAGCCAACUCCAAGUGGAGGACACCCCGUGCAGCCCAAUCCAUGGCUCAGACGGGAAAACUGUGGCCAGAAGGUUAAGUCACUGGCCCAGCAUCACCCCUGGGGGGUCCAUGCCAGGAAGUGGGUUAAAAGGACAAAAGAUGGGAGGGAGGUCAAGCUAAAGCAGGAAGUGUGGAAAAGGGGGUCCUGGGAACAGGCGGAGACCCUACAUGCCUCCCUGGGGCCCGGCAUUAGGAAGCCCAUGUUUCCUGAGCAUCUAGACCCCAUGCUGCAUGUUCUACAUCCAUUACCUCCUGUCUCACAGCAGCCCUGAGAGGCAUUAUUGUUCCCAUUUUGCAGAUGGAGAAACUGAGGUUCAGAGGUGAGGAGUGAUCUGCCCUGGUUCACCCAGUGAAUAAGUGACAAAGGGAGGAUUAGAGAACCCCAGUUGCCUGACUUAUGAGUCAAGGUUCUCAGGGCCUGCCCCUCCCCCACCAACCCCUUCCUGGCCUCCCCUUUGCCUUCUCUCCUACCUUGAGGCUGACAUUGUUAGUGCUGCCCUGGCCUUGGGCCAGGUCAGGGCAACUCUGGCCACCCCAGGGCCUGAAAAGGAAGCACAGGGAGAAGGGAGUGAGGUAGCCUUCUCCUCUCCCACCCCAAGGCUUGACCCAGCAGCCUCUCUCACUUCUCUCAGAGCCCACAGCCUGGAUGAGCUCCUGAAAUCUGGGGAAAGGGGAAGCUUGUACAGCAGCCUCCUCUCUGCUCCCUUCCUCAACUGUCCACUCCACCCCCAGAGACAGAGAAAGAGGGCUGGGCUUGGAGAAAAGUGGGGACUAGGCCUGUAUCAGGGCCAGAAUACAGAAAAGCGACAGUGUCCUGUAAUUCAAAAGCUCGCCAUUUGCUGAAGCACUCCCUAUGCCAGGCUUAGCACUGCGUAUUGUGCCUACAUGAUCUCCCUUAAGCCUCACAAUAACCCUAAGAGGUGGAUAUUAGUGCCCCAUUUUUCAGGUAAGGAAACGGAGGCCAGAGAGGUGAAGCCUAGAAUCACAUGACUAAUGAGCCUUGGGAGUAAGACACUAGGACCAUCCUACUCCGAAGGCUGGUUGGACAUCACCACAUGAAUGGGGGGCAAGAUGAGGAUGUGCCUUGGCUGCUGGCUGCCUCCUCCAUGCACUCUGACCCCCACCCCGGGAAACUAGCAGGAAUCGGAGGCUUGUGCCUCAGUCCCAUUCUCACAACUGUGAGAACUGAAUCCAAGUGCAUACAUGGGAUGUGUCAUCAUGCUACUGCAGGAGCCUCCGCAGUCCCUCCCCUGCCCUCCACACCGCUGAAUCACCCACGCCCCAACCCCACCUCCUCUCAAGUGGGGAAAGGGAGGGGCAGAGCCACCUGGGCCUAUAGGGCAGGUUUCUGCCAGGCAGGGUAAAGGGAGAGGGCGUGUCUUCCAGCGGGGUAGGGCAUGGCACUAGCAGGGUGUGGGCACCACCCCCCCAGCUCACUCAGGCUUCCCAGCAUAGGGUGCUAGGCCCUCCCUGCCCCUCCCCUCUCUCUUUGGGGUGAGAGAGCAGUACAAACCCUUCCCCUCACUCUGCCUCCACCACGCCCCCAUUCCUCCCAAGGUGAGCUGAAAACAGUUGUGUCAUGAUAAGAUCAGAACAAAUUGCUGGGUAACUGAACUGUACAGAUACACAAACACCCUACCCUCUUCUGGGAUAUAGGCCCAGGAACUACUGGGGUCCUCGAUUCCAGCUCCUAGCCAUACACAGCCCCUUUUUCCUCCCAUUCAAACAUCAGCUGCCAGCAAAGGGGCUCGGAGAGAAGUCAUUUGUUCCGAGUCACAUGGCCAGUGGCAGCGAGGCUAGGACAGACUCUGGCCCCCUGGCUUGCAGGCCUUCAGUCUCUCAAGGCAACAGAGCAGCCGGGGCUUCAGGAUGUGAGCUCUGGAGUCAGACUGCCCAAGCUUGUCCUCCAGCCCCGCCACUCCCCAGUCGUGUGGUGGACAGGGCGCUUUGCCUCUCUGAACCUCCAUUUCCACGUCUGAAUCACACUGAACACCUGUCUCAUGGAGCUGCUGUAAGGAUUAAAUGAGAUCAUUCAAGUGAGGCACUAAGCAAGUGGCAAAGAGAGGCUGAUUGCUAUUGCGACCUGGGAUGACAGGGAAAACCUCGCCAUGGCAACAAGGGCAAGUGCAGUGCCGCCCAAGACAACUCAGGAGCUGGUCACACUCCUAACAGAGGCUCAGGAAGACCAGAGGGAACUGGCCUGUUAUGUGGGAAUCAAAGUCCACACAGGCGGAAGGAGUCAUGCAUCGCCUUUACUCUCCUCCGUAAAGAAAUUGUCUGCAGGCGGCUAGAUGGGAGGGAGGUCAAGCUAAAGCAGCCUGACUUAAGGAAAUUGCAAAAGGUGUUUUAAAGUUUCCAAAGAGCACAGGGACUUUAUAAAGGCCGUCUUCGCAUUUACACAUCCAAAAUCGACACAUUUUUAUGCUCCGAGACACUCACAUCUCACAUACGCGUAUUUUAAUAUCUACUAC
This is a long non-coding RNA of Myotis myotis, 3410 nucleotides long. RefSeq lists it as uncharacterized. The transcript is spliced from 5 exons. The record is from RefSeq and is a predicted model, not a curated record. NCBI's taxonomy places the organism in Eukaryota, Metazoa, Chordata, Mammalia, Chiroptera, Vespertilionidae.